UGCCUUUAAGAAAAUGCUUCUGCUUCAUGACUGGAAGUAGCAGAGUUUCAAGCUUUUAUCAGCAUUAGAAUGAGUGAAAGGCAAAUAUUCACCUGGAGUUCUUGACACAGACUUGAAAUCACCAUGGAUCUGAAGGUUUACACAGACAAGGAUGGGUGUAUCCGGUGGGCAGUAAUCUUGAGGAUCUUGAGGACCAGUAUUUAGCAUUAGACCAACCUCCAACAACUGGCCAUUCGGCACCGGCACCGGACAACCAGUUACGACUUUUGAUCUUCAAGCCAGCAGUCUGAAGAAGAUGCAUGAAUCUGUCAUCAGCCAGCAUGUCAUAGAAAUAAGGACAAUGACAGUAGCUUAUCUCAACAACCUAUUGAUUUCUGUUAUUUCCUGUUAUUGAAAGUUGAGCCUUUCUACUGAGGUGUCUUAAAAAGAUUCCAGUUUCAAAUAACUGCAUUACUGCAUUUUUUUUGUUGUUGUUGUUAAAAAAAAGUCGAGCCUCCUGGAGUCAAUAUAAAAAUUAAGCAAAGGAGAAUAUGAUGAUUACAGUUCAUUUUGACAGUGUUGGGUGAAUAAAAGGAAAAUUGGCUUCAAAUAACAGCGUCAACGAAUGACCUGUGCGGAUGACACACGCGCGGACACACACGGACACACACGGUUGGAUGCGUGUGUACGUACUCAAGGAGGCCUCUACAUAGCAUUCAGCAUAAAAGUGCUUAUUGGGGGAUGUUUCUGCCGACACUGGGGUUGGUCGCUUCUUAUCUCUCUGCUCAGAUAACGCUGAGCAUACAGGAAAUCAGCCCAAGGAGUAAGCUCGUUUUCUGCUGUCACAGCGAGACUGUGCAUGGCUCCAGGCCUGGUGCCACACACCUGUGCUCUCAGCACUUGGGAAGCUGAGACAGGAGGAUUUGGGGGCUGGAGGCCAACUCAGAACACACAGUGAGACCCUGUCUCAAUGAAGUGGCGGAAUGUGUGGAGAGGGUCCUGGGUUUGAUCUGCGCACUGGGGGAGAAACUGCCUGUUCUUCCUCUGAACUGCUUGCCUCCCGACAUGCCGAGCUGCAGCUCUGAGGAUUUUUAUCUGGCUCUCGUUGCUUCAGGACCGCUGUGCACAAGCUCCGGGCAUUCCUUCCUCCGUGCUUUGUUAGUUGUCGUCCCAGAA
Molecule: long non-coding RNA, 1155 nt
Organism: Meriones unguiculatus (Mongolian gerbil)
Lineage: Eukaryota; Metazoa; Chordata; Mammalia; Rodentia; Muridae
Exons: 3
Source: RefSeq, a predicted model, not a curated record